UGGGGAAUCUUGGACAAUGGGCGCAACCCUGAUCCAGCCAUGCCGCGUGAGUGAAGAAGGCCUUCGGGUUGUAAAGCUCUUUCGGCGGGGACGAAACGGUUCGUGACAACACCACGGACUAAUGACGGUACCCGCAUAAGAAGCACCGGCUAACUACGUGCCAGCAGCCGCGGUAAUACGUAGGGUGCAGGCGUUAAUCGGAAUUACUGGGCGUAAAGCGUGCGCAGGCGGUUUGUUAAGACAGGUGUGAAAUCCCCGGGCUUAACCUGGGAAUUGCGCUUGUAACUGGCAGGCUAGAGUGUGGCAGAGGGGGGUGGAAUUCCACGUGUAGCAGUGAAAUGCGUAGAUAUGUGGAGGAACACCGAUGGCGAAGGCAGCCCCCUGGGUUAACACUGACGCUCAUGCACGAAAGCGUGGGGAGCAAACAGGAUUAGAUACCCGGGUAGUCCCUGAGCGGGCUGGCAAGGCGCAU
Molecule: ribosomal RNA, 472 nt
Filed under: uncultured bacterium
Lineage: Bacteria
Description: bacterial SSU rRNA
Rfam family: Bacterial small subunit ribosomal RNA
Source: RNAcentral